Cheilinus undulatus (humphead wrasse) is the source of this 634-nucleotide long non-coding RNA. RefSeq lists it as uncharacterized. NCBI's taxonomy places the organism in Eukaryota, Metazoa, Chordata, Actinopteri, Labriformes, Labridae. The record is from RefSeq and is a predicted model, not a curated record. The transcript is spliced from 9 exons.
GCUCCCUAUAAAUACUUCAGCGGCGCUUUCUGGACUCCCCUUAUCGCAUGAAGAUCGUGGGACCAGGACGCACAAUGGGGCGUGAAUUUGAUGCUGAAAGAGGCAUGAAGAUGUGGACCCUUAGAUUGUACCGCCCCUUCGGUACAUGAGUUCUGACCUGGGACCAGCUCACAGGGUUUCCUCUCCAUCCUGAUAGUUGAAGCACCAAUGUUACAGCAUGAUGUCUUUGCUGCGGUGACUGAUCUGUUCUUGAUCCCAGGCUUCAUGGCCUGAUCCACACUGAAGGUCUCAGCGACUGUGAUGGAUGAAACAGACGGGUGUUCAGAUUGAUCUCUACUGACGUAAAGAUUGACUCAGCUCAAGCUUCAGCAGACACUAAGAAUAAAUGAGCUGUUGCUGUCCUGUAGACAUUUGAUCUCUGCAGCCUCUCAGAUUGGUGUUGUGCAGGUCCAUCAGUGAACAGAUGACCUGGAUACCAGCCUUUAAGCUGCACUCACAAACUUGGGAUUUAAAUAAUUUGUGUACCUUACAGAUUUGACGCAUUGCAUUAAAGGUUGUGAAAUACUUGAAUGUAAUCUUGCACGUUUUUUAGGUUGGGAAUGCUCCAAUGUGAAUAAAAAGAUUCAAAAGUAAA